GACGAACGCUGGCGGCGUGCUUAACACAUGCAAGUCGAACGGAAAGGCCCUGCUUUUGUGGGGUGCUCGAGUGGCGAACGGGUGAGUAACACGUGAGUAACCUGCCCUUGACUUUGGGAUAACUUCAGGAAACUGGGGCUAAUACCGGAUAGGAGCUCCUGCUGCAUGGUGGGGGUUGGAAAGUUUCGGCGGUUGGGGAUGGACUGGCGGCUUAUCAGCUUGUUGGUGGGGUAGUGGCUUACCAAGGCUUUGACGGGUAGCCGGCCUGGGAGGGGGACCGGCCACAUUGGGACUGAGAGACGGACCAGACUCCUACGGGAGGCAGCAGUGGGGAAUCUGGCACAAUGGGCGGAAGCCUGAGGCAGCAACGCCGCGUGCGGGAUGACGGCUUUCGGGUUGUAAACCGCUUUCGCCUGUGACGAAGCGUGAGUGACGGUAAUGGGUAAAGAAGCACCGGCUAACUACGUG
Molecule: ribosomal RNA, 468 nt
Filed under: uncultured bacterium
Lineage: Bacteria
Description: partial 16S ribosomal RNA
Rfam family: Bacterial small subunit ribosomal RNA
Source: RNAcentral